AUCCCAACCACAAGCUGCUGGAUUUCCUCUUCAUUUGAGUUAAAGUCUUUUGCCACUUGAUUUUAUUUUAGGACAAGACUCUCAAGCAGGUCUGAGGUUUGAGUUUGGGGGAUUUUCUUUGCAAUACUCCCAUAUUUUAACUCUUCUUUUUCACCAGAGGACUGUGAACAACCUUCUCCUGUGUCCAACCACUUUUUCUUCAUUUAUAAAUGUUGAAGAUUUCUUACUUUGAAGCCCCUUUUGCAACUCCUAGCAAAGUGCCUGGUACUAGACGAUAAAACUGGCAGACUCCAAUCCCUUCCUCCCUGAAACUCCCCUGUGGAUCAGACAUCACAAUGACAGUUCUGCAGUGCACACGCCUCUGUUUCUAUGUCUGGUCCAGGUCCAGAAGUAGCGAAACAAAGGCAGCUGUUAACAGCUCCGACUGGCCGAGGGAAAACCCAGAGGAUAAGAAAUCUCUUGAGAAGACCCAGAGCCAUGAGAUUUGCAGUCAGAUAGCCAGCCCAACUCUCAGUGACCUCUCAGAGAGAACUGAAAACGUCUGGCUGCUUGUCACAACUGAACAUCCAACCCCAUUGCUGAAGGAAACCCAUCGACCGCCUCAUUAAAAUCUCCUUGGCACAACCCAAGCUGGUCUUCCAUCACUGGGGGCAGAAGGAGCUGAGUGUGGAGGCAAUUUGUUCCUCGGAGCAUGCAUCAUUCCUCCAGUCAGGGCGUGCAUCUGGCCAGCCUGCCUUGGACUGCUUUACAGAGCCGUGGACGCUGUCCAGAGCGCUCUGCUCAGUGUCCCCGACAAGAUGGCCAUCAAAGACUGGGUUAGGGGUCAGGCACCCAAAGCCAUUAGCACUCCAAAGUGAUUGAUUACCAUCAUGUGUGGUCUCAAUCAAGAGCCGGUAAUGAGCUGCAUUCAUUAAUCCCAUUUAUAUGUUUGCAUAGUCCAGUCUUGAAUUUCAGAGAAUAAAAAGGCUUCAUACUGCGAUCGGCA
This 985-nucleotide long non-coding RNA is filed under the name Cyanistes caeruleus (blue tit). RNAcentral's name for it is "lncRNA (ENSCCEG00000011344.1)". Lineage: Eukaryota; Metazoa; Chordata; Aves; Passeriformes; Paridae. The record is from RNAcentral.